UAGCUUCGCUCCAAUAUUUCAAUGGUACUUUGGUUGCUGUUAAGAUGCGUCAGGUCAUAUUACAAAUUGUUUGAAUGCUACGUUCACUAUGCAUAACUGAGGAGUAUCCUUAAAGACUGGUAUGUAGAAUACCUUCUCGUCUUAAGAAAGCCUUUAAAGUUUCGUCUACAUAUUCACUCCUUUAUCGUGAAAACUGCUAUGUUUAGUAUUAGCCUCGUUCCAAUAAGAACAAACUGGUAGCUAUCAAAAGAAGGUAAAUCCUAUUGGAAAGUAUCCAAUACAAAAGUUGACCAGAUAUAUUUCGCACUGACGGAUCUUAAAGAGUUUAACUUACGGGGCCGUGUUUUUAAGAUAUAGCUAACUUGUACUGUUCUAAGAAUGUCUCGUUGUUCUGGUCAAGGAUCUGAGGACAUAAAGCCUUUGAGCCUAGAGGUUUUUUAAUAGAAGCUUCAAGUCAAAUUUUGUAGUGUACAUUCUCCUUUAAUUAUCAUACUGAAUUUAGAUUAUGAAAGAAAGAAGGGCUUAGACUACGUUGCCCUUAUGUUGAACUUAUAAAUAAGCAGCUUGGGUUUUUAGGGAAUAUCGAAAUUGACACGGCUUCUGGGCUUUUUUUGAUAAAGGCGCUUAGGCAAUGUGCCCUAUCUUGCCACAAAAGAAGAAACAUUAAUGGUUGAAUUUUUUCUGUCCCGUGAGGUGACGUUACCAUAAGUUGUUGUUUUCAAAGAUGUAGAUGCGGUUCCUUCUUCUUAUUUUCUAGUCUCCGCUUAUAAUAACAAAGCAUAAUAUAGUUCAAUUCGUUCGAAUCGGUGUAAAGUUGCUCUAGUGAUAUCUUGUCGUACUUAUAUUAGCUCCACACUGUAAAUUAGAGCAAUAGUUUAAAGUAAUCGCGAAUUUUAGAGAUAAAAGGGGUUAAUUCUUUUACAGUACAAUGCUCCUGAAUUUCUCGGGCUAAGUGAUUAAGUCUGUUAGCAUAUUGUGGAAUAGACUCUUCUUCUCCUUUUGAAGUAAUACAAAGUCUUGCAUUUUUACCAAUGAAGCAGCAAUUGAUCUAGGCCAAAAGUAUUUUUUCACGCUUCAAGGUCUGUUUCAGGCUGUAAUAUCUAUAUUGCCUUUUUGCUUUUUAUGUCAUCAUGUACGCUACUCAUAACUAUUUGAAUGCCUGUGACAGAUUUACGAGUUUUUCAUGUGAACUUAUUUCUUUUUCUCCUAUUUUCUCAAUUAUAAAGAAUAAGUCAUGUAUGUCAUGGCAGGGCAAGGUCAGUUUGAUAUCCAUUAGCCAUUACAAGGUUGUGAAAACCCCCGGAGCCUUUGAGUAUUCCAGAGGUAGAAGAAUGAGUUAAAUGAAUGAAGGCGCAAAAAGAUUGAAAAGGAUGAAACUUAGUAGGUAAUAAAAGAAAAAUAGAAAUAAUGAGGAACUUUUUGAAAUGCGCGAAAGAGUAGAAAAAGAGAAAAAUUGAAAGGCAAUAUUCUCAAGUAAAAUAUAAAA
Molecule: long non-coding RNA, 1486 nt
Organism: Zophobas morio
Lineage: Eukaryota; Metazoa; Arthropoda; Insecta; Coleoptera; Tenebrionidae
Exons: 7
Source: RefSeq, a predicted model, not a curated record